Molecule: ribosomal RNA, 379 nt
Filed under: uncultured Bacteroides sp.
Lineage: Bacteria; Pseudomonadati; Bacteroidota; Bacteroidia; Bacteroidales; Bacteroidaceae
Description: bacterial SSU rRNA
Rfam family: Bacterial small subunit ribosomal RNA
Source: RNAcentral
GCUCAGGAUGAACGCUAGCUACAGGCUUAACACAUGCAAGUCGAGGGGCAGCGGGAUUGAAGCUUGCUUCAAUUGCCGGCGACCGGCGCACGGGUGAGUAACGCGUAUCCAACCUUCCGCUUACUCGGGGAUAGCCUUUCGAAAGAAGGAUUAAUACCCGAUGGUAUGAUGAGAUUGCAUGAUAGCAUCAUUAAAGAUUUAUUGGUAAGCGAUGGGGAUGCGUUCCAUUAGGUAGUAGGCGGGGUAACGGCCCACCCAGCCGACGAUGGAUAGGGGUUCUGAGAGGAAGGUCCCCCACAUUGGAACUGAGACACGGUCCAAACUCCUACGGGAGGCAGCAGUGAGGAAUAUUGGUCAAUGGGCGGAAGCCUGAACCAGC